GGUUUCGUGGCCGAGUGGCUAGGCAGAGGUCUGCAAAACCUUGUACGGCGGUUCGAAUCCGCCCGAAACCUCAA
Molecule: transfer RNA, 74 nt
Filed under: Luteibaculum oceani
Lineage: Bacteria; Pseudomonadati; Bacteroidota; Flavobacteriia; Flavobacteriales; Luteibaculaceae
Description: tRNA-Cys
Rfam family: tRNA
About the family: Transfer RNA (tRNA) molecules are approximately 80 nucleotides in length. Their secondary structure includes four short double-helical elements and three loops (D, anti-codon, and T loops).
Source: RNAcentral